Podarcis lilfordi (Lilford's wall lizard) is the source of this 112-nucleotide non-coding RNA. Lineage: Eukaryota; Metazoa; Chordata; Lepidosauria; Squamata; Lacertidae. The record is from the annotation of a GenBank genome assembly.
UGUCCAGUAGCACCUUAGAGACCAACUAAGUUUGUUCUUGGUAGAAGUGUGCAUGUACACGAAAGCUCAUACAAGGAACGAACUUAGUUGGUCUCUAAGGUGCUACUGGACA